AGCGUUACUCAUCGUUAAAUCUUAUAUUUCUGGGUGUUUACUCACGGUUGUGAUGAAGUUGGGAACAAGGAAGAAACAGGGGACGUUUGGAGUCGAAUGACGGGGGACCCAGCUGCCGUUCACCGCCACGACAUGGAUUGUGUGUCUGAACAGGUCAGAAAAUGGCCGCAUGGACAGCGGGUGACAUCAAAGGCAUGUUUGUCUUAACCCAUGUGUCGUAUACGUCCGUCUCGUCGGCAGCCAACACCAGGAAGAGAUACGACCCCCCAUCACUCUUCCCGGAUCCCAACGUCACGCUGACGACGGACUGGUACGGUGUGCAUCCUGUUGUCGCUUGCCAGUAGAUAUGACGGAGAUUACCCAGGGAGGGCGCUCUUAUUCACUGGAUGGCAGAGCCGUGAGAAGGAGUUGCGACAUGAGUGUUACCACUGUUGGCAAUAAACUUGCAGGUGUAUGCACCAGUGAACAUGGACAGUUGGUAGACAAUAGCUGCACGCUGUACUACUGUACACAUAGUAGACAGCCAUUUUGUUUCCAAAAUCUGAAGCUGGCGCUAAUCUCGCUAUGCACAGCUCUGCUGGGUGGAAGGCCGUAGACAAAAGAAGCAAUAGUGUCUAAAGGGUAAAAGGACACGGGCGACGAGCUUCCGGAACCCCAGCGUGGUACGCCUAUGGGGAUUUUACUUGGGGCCAGUCUAUCACGUUUCAUUAAUUUAUGGAAGAAUAAUUCUUAACUGAAACCAUCCCAAGAAACACUCAUUCUUGAAGGUUGGCCUUUUUUCUUCAAGUGGUAUCGUGAUAAAGUCACAUGGAGAUGGUUAACAACCCAAAUUUCCUGAACGAUCUUUCAUUUCCGGCAUUAUCGUUCCUAGGUUUUCUUGUUCAUGCACAUUCGUUUUCAUUUCAUUUACUGACGUGAAAACGAUAAUGAUUAACGUUGCAAAGAUUUAUCUACCUGCAGUCUGUAGAUGGAUUUUAGACUUAGUGGAGCUGACCCGAUGGAGUUCUUAUUAGGAAAGGCUAAAGAUAAGACUUUAAAAUUUUUCGUAAAUGCAUUUUACUUCCGUUAAACGUGUAAAAAUGCUAAACUUAUAUUUGUUUUGCUUUUAUUUCAACAUUUAACUAAAGUCUAUACGGUAGCCUAAAACUCAAUACUGUAACUUUUUAUCUGCGUCGUCACGCCUGUAUUGUCGAUUUUCAGACGUGAGGGGCCAAUUUUUACUACGACGUUGCUCUUUCAGGUUAGUAAUAUUUCACUUUCUAUAAAUUGCCAUAAACUCAAUAUUUUACAAAGCUUUUUUAAGAGAUUUUUUCAGACGUUAACGAAGGAAAAACAGUGGAAUUGUCAAAUUUUUGCACGUUAUUUUUUUCCCGGCACACCGGACGCGCCGUUAUAGGGACUCAACUGUCAGGCUCUAUAAUAGUAACAAGCCUGGGCGAAAUUUCUGGAAAAAAAUUGGAUUUGAUACCGUCCUUCAGUCCUUUGAUGCAUUUAAUCUUUCCUUAUAUAUUCUGCUUGCACCAUCGAGCCUACAGUGAAGAUAUCCAUGUCAAAUGGAUGCCCGUUUUCGCAACGCUGCCCGUAACUUUGUAAAAAUCAAAAGACGUCUAAUACAAGAAUUUCAACAACAGUCAUGAAGAGGGCGCCAUAUCUUACUAACCGCUGGACAAUCUCUCUCGUAACUUUGAAAGUAUAGUUUCUGUGCAAUUCUCGUCAGUAGCUUCAGGAAAGAGUAACGUGGGCUGUGACUGAAAGAAGCUGAUGGAUAUGUAAAUGAUUCGCAGUCUGCUAAUUUCCAAGUCUGUGUCAGUUAUGAUAAAUCUCAUUUACGAUUGCGUUUUAUCUCAAAUCUUUUCUUUCUUAAAAACAACGGAAAAAGUACUCUCGUUGUGCAUGUUGGUGUGGAUAUUGGGGGACUAAGGCCGUAAAUGGCAAGGAGACGUGCGGAUUUAUAGUGUACUAAUGAAAGGAUUUAGAAGUCACGUGGUAGCUUGUUCUUUCAACCUUGUAAGUAAACUGGUCUCGGUAGGUACCUUGAUCAAAGAGGAUUCAGUGCAUAGUAAAACCGGUGCUAAAAGCUUAGAAUGAUCUCUUCACUCUUUGACGGUACAAUGACACUUGCUCAGCACUUGCAGCACCGUGACUUUAAAUUCACCAGGCAAACAGCCUAUUGCAACUCAUUUCUUUCUUCUGUAGAGUGCUAAGAGGCAGAAUUUACCGAAAGGUGUGACAGUUUUGUGUCCCUGUUACAUCUGACCUUUGUUGUUUGACAUGGAAAAAUCACCGGAACUGAUUUCAAACUACAUG
RNAcentral lists this long non-coding RNA (2307 nucleotides) under Acanthaster planci (crown-of-thorns starfish). Its description in RNAcentral is "uncharacterized LOC110974643". Lineage: Eukaryota; Metazoa; Echinodermata; Asteroidea; Valvatida; Acanthasteridae. The record is from RNAcentral.